CGAACGGUCGGGGGUGGUAACGCAACGGAAAGUGCCACAGAAAAAAUGCGGCCCGCUAGGCUAAGGGUGAAAAGGUGCGGUAAGAGCGCACCGCGCGCCUGGCGACAGGCGUGGCAGGCCAAACCCCCUCCGGAGCAAGGCCAAAUAGGGACUGAGAGACGGCCCGUCUCGCUGAAGUCCGGGUAGGCCGCUGGAGCUGUUCGGCAACGUCCAGCCUAGACGAAUGACUGCGACUGGCUUUCGGGCCAGCACAAAACCCGGCUUAUCGGAUCACAAAGACG
This 281-nucleotide RNase P RNA is filed under the name Planctomycetota bacterium. RNAcentral's name for it is "Planctomycetes bacterium (activated sludge metagenome) partial RNase P RNA component class A". It matches the Rfam family "Bacterial RNase P class A", at positions 78 to 367 of the family's 367-position model. From Rfam's summary of the family: Ribonuclease P (RNase P) is a ubiquitous endoribonuclease, found in archaea, bacteria and eukarya as well as chloroplasts and mitochondria. Its best characterised activity is the generation of mature 5'-ends of tRNAs by cleaving the 5'-leader elements of precursor-tRNAs. The record is from RNAcentral. Lineage: Bacteria; Pseudomonadati; Planctomycetota.